This 281-nucleotide small nuclear RNA is filed under the name Mus spretus (western wild mouse). RNAcentral's name for it is "predicted gene, 54559 (ENSMSPG00010021351.1)". It matches the Rfam family "7SK RNA". From Rfam's summary of the family: 7SK was discovered as an abundant small nuclear RNA in the mid-70s but a possible function has only recently been suggested. Two independent studies have found that 7SK RNA binds the CDK9/cyclin T complex (known as elongation factor P-TEFb). The record is from RNAcentral. Lineage: Eukaryota; Metazoa; Chordata; Mammalia; Rodentia; Muridae.
GGAUGUGAGAGUAAUCUGGCUGCAGCAUCUGUCACCCCAUUGAUUGCCAGGGUUGAUUCGGCUGCUCUGGCUGGCUAGGCAGGUGUCCCCUUCCUCCCUCACCGCUCCAUGUGUGUCCCUCCUGAAUGCUCAGCCUAAGAGGAUGGCCUUCCCCGAAUAGAGGAGGACUGGUCUUCGGCCAAUGGGAGCUGCGCUCCCCUGCUAGAACCUCCAAACAAGCUCUCAAGAAAUAAAGUUGUUGUUGUUUGGAUAGUUUGGCUUGGGAGGCUCUGUGUCAACCA